UAGCUGAGCAAAGGUUUUAUGUAAGCCACAUGCUUACAUGUGAAACAUGCUAUAUUGUGAAACAGGGCUUUUCUCCCCCAUUCUUGCUGUGCCCACAGUGAUAUGGCUAACAAAAGCUGUUGUCUUCUGAAAAGGAAAAUCGUAUUUCUGAAUUGUUUCCAACGGCCCGGGUUGCUCUUUUGGUUUCUAACUAAACUCACUGCAUCAUAAGAAAUCCCCUUCACGAUUUGUCUGCUUCCCCCACCAAAGUCCUUGUGAAUCAUCCACAAGGGAACAACACAACGCCGCUACCGUGCUGAGUGUAGCAGCUGCCAGGCUGCUCUCCUCGUCUGCUGCAAGAUGAUGCCCAACAUGAGCAUUCAACAGCUUUUGUGGGUCGUUAAUAGGACUUUCAAAAAUUUUUGGCCUUUUUUUCAUCCCAGUUGAUUCAACAAGAUAUGCCACUAUGGUUUUGCAAAAGAGGCUUCCAGAAACUUUUUCACAGCAGGGUUGCCUAUGACAAGAAGCGAAAAAAAGUCUUUGGAAAUCAGAGAACUUAUUCUGCUGUGCAAUCUGUGUAGGAAAAAGUUCACUUGCCACUUUUUUUGCUUGGCUCUGCCAGUGCAGAUUCAACAUCUUUCAACUUCGAUUCCUGUGAAGCACUCUCUAAAUAUUUGUCACAGUCUGCUUUUGCUUGAAACCUACGGAGCAGAGCAAGCUGUGCAACAGAGCAUGCCAGCAUGCUUGUGAAAAAUCCCUUCUGGAUGCCUGUCACUGCUCUGCUUAGCACUUUGCACUCUCUCUCUAGCCAUCUUCUUGACCUUGUGUUUACCUCCGUGGCACUUACCCACUUCCUCGCUCAUCUGCAGAUCCCGUUGGCUGGCUAAAACAGUGCUGCACACACAGCAAUCUGUCAGCUAGACCGUAACCCCACUGAGGAAGAGAUAUGCUGAUUUCAUCUGACAUUGGCACAUGAAUUUGAUUAAAUUAUCAAAGAAAGAAUCUAUUGAUGUAGGUGUUUUCGUAGUCGUUUGCACGACUUCCAAGAUGUUGCUCAAAUGGAUGUUUUUUUCUGACCACUGUAAGAAAAUCUUGGGUUUGAUCAUGGAGGAGGAGUGUUACCCAUGGUGUAACAGUGGUGCUUGGUAUGAAGAGUUGUGUAACUGAUGUGUCAAUGAUCCACAGCUGAUGUUUUGCUAACCACCCAUCUGGCCUCUAAGCUACUCUGGCUGCUGCUGUCAUAUCACCAGCAACCACUGAGUCUCCUCUCUCACCUGCAGCUGGAUCAAGCCGAAGACCAAAGAGGGGCUAAAAGUGAUCUGGGUUACUGUUUCUGUAAGGACUUUCUUCUAGGCUGUGUUGGGCCACAAAGUACUGUCUUGUCCCUGGAGAAACAGGAAUUGAAGUGAAAGGUUAUAAUGCCAACCUGUAAUGCUCAAAAACUGCAGGAGGACAAGACAUAUUCCUGAAGAUCUGUCAGAAAAGAAAAUAAAACUGAGAGCUGUUCUGGCUGGUACGUGGUGUGCCUCUGCCUUCAGGUAGAACCGUGCUGGUUUCAGUUUCAUCAGUAUAUUCUCCUCACAGCCCAGGUAGCUAUCAGUUUUCCAGGGAAACAAGGGAAAAGAAGAUGAAAUAGUUGUCAAGCAUUGCAUUGUACUGUGCCAUGAAUUUUCCUUUCUAAGGACUGAAGGGAAAUCACUGAAUUAUAUCAUAACUGUCAAGUGUCCUGUUUUUAGCUUGUUGCUCAAACACAAUAAAAUUAUUUAAUAUACAAAAGCUAUCAUGCGAAGCCAGUCAAUUUUUCCUUCAGUGAUAUAUAAAGGA
Pipra filicauda (Wire-tailed manakin) is the source of this 1803-nucleotide long non-coding RNA. RefSeq lists it as uncharacterized. The record is from RefSeq and is a predicted model, not a curated record. The transcript is spliced from 3 exons. Lineage: Eukaryota; Metazoa; Chordata; Aves; Passeriformes; Pipridae.